UGGGCAACCUGCCCUCAGCUCUGGGAUAACUCCAAGAAAUUGGGGCUAAUACCGGAUAUGACCGCUGACCGCAUGGUCUGGUGGUGGAAAGAUUUAUCGGCUGGGGAUGGGCCCGCGGCCUACCAGCUUGUUGGUGGGGUAGUGGCCUACCAAGGCGACGACGGGUAGCCGGCCUGAGAGGGUGACCGGCCACACUGGGACUGAGACACGGCCCAGACUCCUACGGGAG
This 229-nucleotide ribosomal RNA is filed under the name uncultured bacterium. RNAcentral's name for it is "partial 16S ribosomal RNA". It matches the Rfam family "Bacterial small subunit ribosomal RNA", at positions 118 to 347 of the family's 1533-position model. The record is from RNAcentral.